RNAcentral lists this long non-coding RNA (7644 nucleotides) under Daucus carota (carrot). RNAcentral describes it as "long non-coding RNA (DCAR_LNC000979)". The record is from RNAcentral. Lineage: Eukaryota; Viridiplantae; Streptophyta; Magnoliopsida; Apiales; Apiaceae.
AAUUUGCACUAAAAUAAAAAGUGUUUACAAAUAUGGUAUGAAAUUGAGAGAACAAAAGAAGAUCUAGCACUAUACUACCUACCAACUAGGAAAAGACUAGGUUAAAAAGAUUGUCAUUACAAGUAAAGGAGGUGGGGGUAUUUAUAGCUAGAAAUGUAGGGUUUAGGGGUAGGGUGGCUAAAUCUAAUCCAUCCAUGUGUGAUGUGUGUUGGGUAAAUCAUAGCCAUCCAUGUGCCCCCUUGCUUGCCAACUCUCUUUGAUUUUCUUCUUUUCUUUUCUUUUUCUUUCUUUUUCUUGCAUUUUCUCUUCUUUCUUUAUUUAUCUACAAUUUCCUGAAAUAAAAUAAAUAAGCGAUUAAUACUACGAAAAUAAACAAAAGAUAGGCACUUAAAUAUGCAAAAAUAUGGACUAAUCAAACUUCCCCAUACCUAUCUUUUGCUCGUCCUCGAGUAAAAAUCAAAAGAAAAGAAAAUAAACUAAGAAAACUAGAUGCGAUUCCUAGGCUCCUUUUCGUAGGCGUGACGGGUGAUUUUAGGUUCACCAACCCGUUAAACUCGUAGACGAUCUCUACAAGAGGAGUUUUGUCUCCUAAGGGUUUACAGAAGAUAUACCCAUAAAAUCUUCGAGACAUUCUAGCAAGUGUCUACUCGACUCUACUCCAAUUUCGCCGGUGUUAACAAAAAGCGUUUUUAAGGAAAAUACGACUCAAAGACUCUUUUACUAAUAAUCAAGAAACAGUUGUCUCUAAUCUACUUGCAUCGACACAAAAAUUUACUAGAAAUCCAAGGAGUGUAAGUAAUUUAAGGCCUUUGAUGGAUCCUAAUCGUCUAGGAACAUUUUCUCUUUUUCAACCAAUAUCGAACUGACCCAAUCUCUAUCGAAACAAAUAUCUAGCCAAACUUCACAAACUCUUAUUCUCUUUUCUUUUUUUUUGUCUCUUUUUUUUUUGCAUUGACUUUAUUUUGUCCGUUUUCUUAGGCAAACAAUGUUACCCAUAUAGCGAGCUUUAGGUCAGUGACUCCCAAACCAAACGGUCUUAGGGCACUAGGUUUUGAAAUCCCCCUACGGACUUAAUAACUCGAGUAACAAAGGCCACAAAACGAGACUAGCCAAUCUACUUUUGCCCAUUUAUCUAAAGAUUUUAUCUAUAAAGAACAAUGGGUAUUGAAGUAGUUAUUCCUUUUCUUUUUCUAUCUCUUUUUUUCUUUUUCUAUUUUUUUUUAUUCGCAAAGGUUCGAUUCGACAUUGUUUCAACAUGUGGGUUCUCUCUCAGGUAUCGAACAAUAUCACUACACAAUCUCUCCAUCAAAGGUCUUGUGCAAAUGUGUGUGCCAUCUUGGAAUUACGAGUACAAAUCGGUCGAUACAAGUUUCAGAAAGACAACCUUACUCAACUACGUUCAAAUUAUCUAAAAGACACUACAUAUAUAUACUUUUCGAAAACAUGCUAACACCAACUACUCCUAAAGUUCGAGUGAGGGAAAGACAACUUAGCUAAAAGUGUCUCUAUUUUUGGAUUUUUCUAAUUUUUCAAUUUUUAGGGUUUUCAUUUUUUUAGAAUUACACUAAAGCCCUCCCCAUACCUAAAUCAUGCAUUGUCCUCAAUGUAUGCAAAAGAGAGAAUCGAAAUGAGAGAGUAAAGAGAAAAAUACCUGAAAUGGAUAUGAAGGGGAUUUUUAUGAACUACUAAAACACUUACACGACCCACGCACUCACACAUCUCCUUCCCCAUACCUGAACUUCAUGAGGGAAGGUUCAAAGACGGAAGCGAAUCAGCCAAUUCCGGAAGGAAAGAUGGGAGGGAGCUUCGAGAAAGAGUCAAAAUGUUUUCGAAAAUUUUUAUGCACAAAGACUUUCUCUAGAAUGCGACAAUCGUUCAUCCCUAUAGGACAAGUAUCACUAAUGUUCUCCCUAAACCAACUUAAUGCUUCUUUAUUAUCAAGCAAAUUAGAGACUAUGCAAUUUUGGUCAUAGGAUAAAUCACUAGGAACGAUGUAAGAAAUGAUGUCAUCCUUUCCUAAGGCGCUAUGCGAAUGAUGGAACAACGAGUCAAAUGUCGGUAAUUCACCUACAUGACUCUCUAAAUCGGGCCUAGGGUCAACACGAACAAUCUCGGGUGGAGUUUCCCAUUUUGAACAAAUGUCGUUCAAUUCUCCUAACAACUCCUCCGAGGUCAACUCUUUCAACGACUCAUGAUAUUCCCUAUUGUUCUCGUUGUUGACUUUGAAAUCCUCGUUGAGAAGAGACUCAAUCUCACUAUCCUCAAAACUAGACCAUGUGACAAACUUGUUGACCACAUUAACCCCUAUAGGUUGCUCAUAAAGCUCAUUGGGUUCUUUUCCUACAUUGAAAAUGUUUAAGUCUAUGGUCAUGUUUCCAAAAGUGAGCUUCAUUGAACCAUUCCUACAAUUGAUUAAGGCAUUGGAUGUAGCAAGAAAAGGUCGUCCUAAAAUGAUAGGAAUUUGGUUCUUAGGAUUCGAGACGGGUUGAGUCUCGAGAACAACAAAGUCAACGGGAAAGAUAAAAUCACCGAUUUUGAUCAACACAUCCUCAAUAAUCCCCUUAGGCAUUUUAAUAGAACGAUCGGCAAGUUGAAGGGUCAUAUUGGUGGUCUUGAGAUCCCCUAAACCUAGGGCUUGGUAGACCGAGAAAGGAAGAAGAUUCACACUCGCUCCUAAAUCAAGUAAAGCUUUAUCCACAAAAGUAUUGCCUAUGACACAAGAAAUUGUAGGACAACCGGGGUCCUUAUAUUUCACGGGAAUUUGAUUCGAGAGAAUCGAGCUAACUUGUGAGGUCAAAAAGGCUUUCUUUGGAACAUGAGUGGUUCUCUUAUGGGUACACAAAUCUUUUAGACACUUGGCAUAAGAAGGAACUUGUUGAAUGGCAUCUAAAAGAGGAAUGUUUAUCUUGACUUGUUUGAAAACCUCUAGAAUUUGUUCCAUUUGGGCCGAUUGUUUAGGGCGAAUGAGUCUUUGUGGGUAAGGAACCCUUGGCUUGUAAACUUCUUCGUUGGGCUUUUGAGAAAUGGGCCCAGGACUAGGUUCACUCAUAGACUCACGGACUCUAGAACAUUCGGGCUUAUCAUGAUUAGUGCUAGACAAAGAAGGAUUUGUUUUAGGAAUCGACUCCUCAUUUUCAUUAACGUUCUCACCAACUUUGUUAUCCACUUGAUUUCCCGACCUUAGAGAAAUAAUCGCAUUAACAUUCUCGGGAGGUCUUUGAUUGAGAGGAAACUUAGGAUUGACCUCGGGUUGACUUGGCAACUUGUUCUUCUCUCGCUCACACAACGCGCUAGCUAAUUGACUCAAUUGGGCCUCUAACUUAGACACGGCUUGCACAUUAGAAUGCAAAAUUUGCCUAUCUUGGGUUAGGGUUGUCAUGAAGGUUUGUUGUGAUUGAGUCAAAUUAGUUUGCGAUUUAACUAAGGCUUCCAAACUCUUUUCUAAAGAAUUGAGGCGUUUAUCCGAAUCAUUGAAACCGGGAGGAUUCAAAGGAGUUUGAAUUGGGUUAUGACAUGAAUUUGGACCUUGAUUUGGGUAAGAGUUUGGGUUGGGCCUUUGUUGAAAAUUUUGUUGAGGAGUUGGAAAAGAAUUUGGCCCUUGAUUCAUUUGAAAAUUGGGUUGAGGAACUUGACAAUUUUGACCUUGGGUCCAUGAGAAAUUUGGGUGAUUUCUCCACCCGGGAUUAUAAGUGGGUGCAAACGCAUCAUUCCUAGAAUUUUGAAACAUCGCAUUUACUUGUUCAAGUUCGUGCGAAGGUUGGGUUCCGGGAUUUUGAAAAUUGUAAUUAGGGAGCAUCGACAUUUGUGGGGGAGAUUUACUAGUUUCUAAAGCUUCAAGCCUCCUAGUUAGGGUGGCUAGUUUGGCAUCGAUUGCCACAUUAUUUCCUAUCGAAUGCAAGCCCCUAGCGCUAGAUGACUGAAUUGACUUUUUGGGCUCCCUAGUUGACUCCCACAUCAUAGUCUUUUCCGCUAAAUCCUCGAAAAAUUCCCACCCUUGGUCCUCAUCUUUUUCCAUGAAUUUACCUUGGCACAUAGACUCUAAUAACGCGGUGGUUUGACUAUCUAAGGCCUCGUAAACUAUCUUGCAAAGUCUCCAUUUUUCUAUUCCGUGGUGGGGGCAUUGUGAGAGAAGAUUUUAAAACGGUCAAAGAAAUCCAAAAGACUCAUUUCCUUUUGAUGGAAUUGAUUUAUUUCAUUUGUAAUUCGAGUAGUCUUAUGAUUUGGAAAAUACUUUUUAAGAAACACCACAACGAACCCCUCCCACGUGGAAAUAGAAAGUUCUAGAAAGUUGGAGUCAAUCAUGAAGAUUCCAAGAAAAAUAGAAUUGAGUCCCGGAAAAACAUGAAAAUGCUUGAGAGCACUAUAAACACAUAGGAUAUGGCCUAUAGGAACGAAUUUCUACAUAGGAAAGGCUUGAAAAGCCGGAAAAAGACUCUCCCUAAAAAUUUCGGCAACAUGCUAAUGUGAUGUGCCUUAAUCUCGAAAUUAUUCCCAUUAACGGGAGGAAGGGUAAUGCAUGAUGGUUGAGCGGAACGGGAUGGGUAACAACGGUCUUUAAGAGACAAUGCCAUGUUUGAUAUCGAAUUGCUAGCUUCUAUGGGUUCGGAGUCCGAAGAAGACGAAGAAGAAGGAAUCUCGACUAUCGGUCCUACUAAUCUAGAUGAUUCGUUCCUAACCCAAGUAGUUCGCAUAAACGAUAAACAUGUAGAAAAUAAGUGCGAAAAAGUAAAACACACAAAAUAAAGGGUGUAAAAGAGAAAGAAAAACUUAAGUCUAGGUUUCCCUAAUAAAAUGAACUAGACCUUGCUCCUAACUUUAAGGACCACCAAAAACUCGGUAAAUCAAUUAUUAUUCGGACUGGUUUGGCCAGUUUGGAGCAAGCAUUGCCAAGAGGCCAAUCUCCGCGUUUAGACACCAAACCUUAAUCGGCCAGGUAAGCUUUCGUUUGUCCUUAGACACCGAAAAAUCGGAAUACGCGAAAUCCUAGGGGGCUAACGUCUAAUUCAAUUUUAUUAAAAGGCUAGGGAAAUGCAAAAUGUUGAAAUUAGUUGCUGUGGGCCAAGGAAAGAGUGAUGAAAUCCCUUCCCUUAUCUUGUGAUUGGGUUUUGCCCUUAAGAUUUAUUUAAAUGAUGCACCACACAACGAUAUAAUUAAAGAUAUAAACAAUUAUGGAUGCUUAAACUACGUGUCCUAAUCUAGAGAAAAGAAAGAAAUUAACGUACCUUGGGGUCCUCCAGCGAUCACCACAAUUAAAGGUACGAAAAUUUAAAAAACUUAAAAUCUAAAUGAUGUGUCCUAAGUGUAAAAAUGCAUGAUGCAACACAUAUGUAGUUCUAACUAAUAUUUUUGGAUUUUUUUUUUUGAUUUGUUUGUGUUUUUUCAAUUUUCAGAUUUGUUUGUGAUUUUCUAAAUAAAAACGAAAAAUAAGAGUGGAGAGAUACGGGCUACCAAAGCAAGCUUCAAAAUCCGAGCAAAAUUUGUCCACUUUACUCCAUUAUUCUCGAGUAUUCCUCCUCGAAAUAAAAACAAAAAUAGUGAGAAACAAACUAAUCCGAAAGAUUAAAAAUAAAGGAGCGAAAAAUUAAUUUUAAUCCCCGGCAGCGGCGCCAAAAACUUGAUGUGCUAGAAAUAUUACAUUUAUUAUCGCAAGCGCACGAUCACCGUUUUAAUAUUUAUGAUUCGAUCCACAGAGAUUAAAAUUAUUUUUGCAACCUAAAUUUUUAACCUAGGCGAAUUAGAACAAUUAAUAUGAAGUGGUGUUUUUACUUAAUUUUCUAAAAUUACGUUUAAAACUUUUAAAUUGAAAAUUAAACUAAUUAAUUCUUAAUUAACAAAACUAAUUACCAAGAUUAAAUAACGAAAUUUAACCUAUCAAAAAUAAACUACUCAGGACAUGACUUGGUGCCAAAACAAGCUACUGGCAAAGAAAAGCAUGUUAACUCGGAAAACGAUUUCACAAAACCAACGAACUCACAACUUGAGACAAAACCCAGGAACUAAAAAGCACACACAACAGACUGGUCAAGCAACCUUAAACAAAAUAACAGACUUAUCAACGUGACUCCAAAAUAAACAAACUCAUUGACUCAACAACACCAAAACGAGUCAAUACCAAAACUAACGGCAACUCGGAAAAUCGAACACACUCGAGCUAAAACGGAGAACAAAACAAUCAACAGGACUCGGCUAAUCGACUCAGACAAUGAACUCAUACAAACAGACUCGAAUGGAAACCCAGCAGCAAGACUCAAUACUGGACUCAAUUACUAAAAAGUCUAAAACAAAGAAACACAGCAACAACUCGCAGAAUGAAAGUAAAGAGAGAGGUGACUCGGUGGAGCUCGGCCUUGACUCAGUGCAGAAAAGACUCGGCAAAACUAAUUGCAGCAACAAAACAGGGGAAAAACGACGCAGAAACCAAACUACAACUGACCCUAGCAGAACUCAGUUAAAACUCGGAAAUCAUAAGACAAAACUCGGUGACUCGAUUUCUAUAGAACUCGCAGUGAACAAAAGAAAAUAGCAGCAAAACUCGGAAAAACCAGGACACCGAGCUGCUACUACAACUUAAACACAAGCUAUAAAGAAGAAAUCGAAGCAAUAAAAGCAGGGCUUAAGACUCGACAACACCACACUGACUCAGCCAUGGACUCGACUCAAACUCACGGCGGCAAACAGAAGCAUAAAACUCAGUAAAGAACUCGGGGACUUAAGAAAACAAUGAAAUCAAACGAACCCAAGAUAAGGCCAUCUGUACUCGAAAACUUUGACUCAAAACAAGCAAACUAGCGACUUACUAUGGAGCAGAACAGCAGACAAACCAACAAAAUCAGACAUUACGACUAAACUCAGUAAACAAGAAACGCAGACUCGUUCUAGCGACUCAGUUUCGCAACUCGUUACACAAUGAAAUCAACACGCAAAAUGGUUAAGAAAACAGAGCAGUUGGGUAUUAGACUGAAACAAGAAAAGGGUCUGGGUGUGUUGCUUUUUGAAUGAAACAGGGGAGAGGGUUUUAGAAGCAAAAGAGAUAAACAUGGUGCAUUUGAUUUUUUUAAUUAAAACAAAAACUGCUAACUCGCGUACAAAUAUUAAAAGUAUGACUGCUGGGAUUUAAAACUUACUGUCAAAAUAUACCAACUAAAUCGUAGUCUUUAAUUUUCAAAACAUUAAACCCCUCACACAAAUGAUUUUUGUGUUAGGAUUUAAAAGAGAUUUAACGACUAAUUUAAACAAUCAUUAAAUCUACACUAAUUAGAAGGCUUCUUCCAUUCCCAAAAGCCCUUAGGCAUAUGGUGGUACUAAGGAGAAUAUGCCACUUGGAGUAAGAAAAAUAAAGACAAUACAAGAUCAAGCUAAAAGAAAUUUGCACUAAAAUAAAAAGUGUUUACAAAUAUGGUAUGAAAUUGAGAGAACAAAAGAAGAUCUAGCACUAUACUACCUACCAACUAGGAAAAGACUAGGUUAAAAAGAUUGUCAUUACAAGUAAAGGAGGUGGGGGUAUUUAUAGCUAGAAAUGUAGGGUUUAGGGGUAGGGUGGCUAAAUCUAAUCCAUCCAUGUGUGAUGUGUGUUGGGUAAAUCAUAGCCCUCCAUGUGCCCCCUUGCUUGCCAACUCUCUUUGAUUUUCUUCUUUUCUUUUCUGU